CAAAGAGCAGCCUGUGCCUUCAGAGAAGGCCGGGAGCCCCAGCCGUUAAAGCUAGCCCACGUUGCCUCCUUGUGCCAAAGCCCUCUGCCGCCCCCUCCAUACUCCUGCCCGCUCCAUCCCGCCUCACGAGUUUUCGUUCCAGGGUAAAAUUUCCGUCUUUCCCCUUUGAUUUGGCAAAAUCCUUGCCUCAGAAUGCUAGAUACUUAAGUAUUUUUGAGUGUCCACUAACCUCAAAAUGGAGUUUUUCCACAGAGAAAAACCUUAGCCCUCAGACGAAGACAAAAUGGGAAUAAAUGUGUCAUGGAAAAAAUUAGAAGUCGCUUCCUUCAUUCGGAUGGAAUAAGUUAUUUCAGACUGUGUCUCACACCAGAGUCCUGACAGCGUUGGGAAAACCACUGACCCUUUCCCAUAUACAGGAAAGUCUGUCUCUUUCAAAUACACGAUUCAUUUGACCUUCCUAAGAGUCCAGUGUAGAAGAGGGAUAUGUAGGAUGACUAUCAUGGGCCUCCAAGGCCAGCCCGGAGGAGCCUCGAACCUGUGGGUCAGCCUCAUUGCUGCCUGCAAGGAGGAGAGAAGGGGCUUGUUAAAGGGCUGACUCAGCCCUUGGUCUUUCAGCACAGAAAUAAAGAGCCCGCUCAGUCCCACAGUCAGAUGCCAACUAUUAAAUCAUGCCCACAUGCGUCCCUUUAGGGUAACUACCCUGCCACUAUUCCCUAAGUUGCAACCAUCCACAUGGUUAAUUAUAGGAGUUUUAUUAGCUAACGCAAUAUUCUGAGUAAAAGUUUUGACUCUUUGAGAAAUAGUUAUUUUGCUGCUAACAUUCAACACUUGCUACCCAUGUAAAUUUAAAUCAAUGCCAGAAAAUUUAAAAACAGCUCAAACUUACAAUUGGUAGUGAUCAAACUGAAAAGUACUGUCAACUCAAAGUUGGAAUCGCCUGGUCAUAGGGUGCAGUAAUAUUUAAAUACGAAUGCAAUUUAAACAGCCUUGGCAUGCCUGAGGUUUCUGUCAUUGUGAGUGAUUAAAAGGCCGUCCAAUACACAAAUGGAUUCCAUCUGACCCUUCUCCCAUUAGUUUACCAGGUUUCACAUCUUGAGUUUACGGUAAAGCCACUCACAGGGGCUUACUGAUGGAGCUAGAAGGGGCCUAAACCAUCCUGGCCCUCCACCUACUUCAUCAACGGGCUUUUUGAUGAGUGAUACUUUUAUGAUGUUUCCUGGCAGUGUGGUGGCUAAGAUUCAGCCCUCUCACCACCACCACGGCCCAGGGUUCCCUUCCUGGUCAGGAACCCACACCACCCAUCUGUCGGUUUUCAUACUGUGGUGGUUGCGUGUUGCUGUGAUGCUGAAAGCUAUGCCACCUGUAUUUCAAACACCAGCAGGGUCACCCAUGGUGGACAGGUUUCAGUGGAGCUUCCAGACUAGACAGACUAGGAAGAAGGACCAGGCCACCCACUUCCGAAAAAAUUAGCCACGAAAACCCUGUGAAGAGCAGUGGAGCGUUGUCUGAUAGAGCACCAGAAGGGGAGAGGACGGCACAGAAAGACUGGGCAGGAUUCCGCUCUGCUGCGGAAAGGGCGCUAGGAGUCAGAAUGGACUCCAUGACACUGACAACAAAAAGUAAUACAGUGCUGGAGGAGGGAGCCGCUGAGACUCUCUCCUCUGCUGGAAAAGAUGCCCAUUUUGCAACAAUUAGCACCAAUGCUGUGACAGGAGCCGGACUUAAAAGGACCCGGGCUUUAGGGGACGGGAAGAAAGCUACCGUCCAGAAGGAAGAUAACUGUAGAUUUUGAAAGAAGGUGGAGAUUGUGAAUUCAACACUUAAAUUGCAGUCCUCGUUUUUAAAAAAUGUCUCAUACUGGGCGCCAUCCGCGUAAUUAUUAACUGCCACCUUCCAGAGAGAAGCUCCCCUUUAUUUAUGUUAUGAAAAUGUUUAAUUCUCAAGUCUAAUUAAUUGUUACAUUUACUUACUGGGAACAAUCGCCUAAAUUUUUAAUUCAGGAAAUUAGCCAGAGUAGAAAGUAGCAACUUCUGAAAAAGGCAAGCAAGCUGUCAUUAACAAAAUUUUCUUUAAAAAAAAAAAAAAAUGUUGCUGAUCUAUUUUCUUCCAAAUUCUCUCUCCAUCCGUGACUAGAAAGGAAAACCGGAACUCUGGAGAAGCUGCUGAGCUUCCAGAAGGAAUAGUCCUCAUUCUGGUUAUUGGUCUUGUUUCCCCCGUCUUGGCACCCACCUUGCAUUCGCAGGUGACACCUGACUCUCCCCUCUUGGCCCCCAUCCGCCCGAGCUGAGGCCGUGCGCUUAUUAUGUGCGUCCCCUUCCAAAAGCCCCAGAUUACACCUUCUUGCUUCUGUGCUGCUGACUUGGCCCUCUUAAGCUAAGGUCCCAGAGGGUAGCUGUUACUGUGACGGGUGUGUUAGGCUCAGUCA
Molecule: long non-coding RNA, 2425 nt
Organism: Equus caballus (horse)
Lineage: Eukaryota; Metazoa; Chordata; Mammalia; Perissodactyla; Equidae
Source: Ensembl